UACUACCGAAGCUACGGCAUCAGUAAUGAUGGGUAGGGGAGCUUCCCAUACGGGUUGAAGCAUGACCGUAAGGACAUGUGGACAGUAUGGGAGUGAGAAUGUUGGCAUGAGUAGCGAGAUGUGGGUGGGAAUCCCACAGGCCGUAAACCCAAGGUUUCCAGGGGAAGGUUCGUCCGCCCUGGGUUAGGCGGGACCUAAGCUGAGGCCGAAAGGCGUAGGUGAUGGACAACAGGUUGAUAUUCCUGUACUACCGAUAACCGUUUGAGAGAAGGGAUGACACAGUAGGAUAAGCUAAGCACACUGUUGGUUAUGUGUGCCCAAGCAUUGAGGCAGUCAAAGUAGGCAAAUCCGCUUUGAUAAUGCUGGGAUGUGAUGGGGAGCGAAAUU
RNAcentral lists this ribosomal RNA (387 nucleotides) under Clostridioides difficile. RNAcentral describes it as "bacterial LSU rRNA". It matches the Rfam family "Bacterial large subunit ribosomal RNA", at positions 1189 to 1580 of the family's 2925-position model. The record is from RNAcentral. Lineage: Bacteria; Bacillati; Bacillota; Clostridia; Peptostreptococcales; Peptostreptococcaceae.